UACGUAGGGUGCGAGCGUUAAUCGGAAUUACUGGGCGUAAAGCGUGCGCAGGCGGUUUUGUAAGCCAGAUGUGAAAUCCCCGGGCUUAACCUGGGAAUGGCAUUUGGGACUGCAAGGCUUGAGUGCGGCAGAGGAGACUGGAAUUCCUGGUGUAGCAGUGAAAUGCGUAGAUAUCAGGAGGAACACCGGUGGCGAAGGCGGCAUCCUGGACCGGUAUUGACGCUGAGGCGCGAAAGCCAGGGGAGCAAACGGG
Molecule: ribosomal RNA, 253 nt
Filed under: uncultured bacterium
Lineage: Bacteria
Description: partial 16S ribosomal RNA
Rfam family: Bacterial small subunit ribosomal RNA
Source: RNAcentral